RNAcentral lists this ribosomal RNA (1485 nucleotides) under metagenome. RNAcentral's name for it is "bacterial SSU rRNA". It matches the Rfam family "Bacterial small subunit ribosomal RNA". The record is from RNAcentral.
AGAGUUUGAUCCUGGCUCAGAACGAACGCUAGCGGCGUGCUUCAAACAUGCAAGUCGUACGCGAAAGUGACUUCGGUCACGAGUAGAGUGGCGCACGGGUGAGUAACACGUAGUUAACUUUCCCUCUCGCUGGGGAUAACUCCGGGAAACCGGAGCUAAUACCGAAUGAUCUGACGGAGUCUGCGGACUCUUUCGGUAAAGCCGUAAGGCGCGAGAGGAUAGGGCUGCGUUCCAUUAGCUAGUUGGCGGGGUAACGGCCCACCAAGGCUACGAUGGAUAGCUGGUCUGAGAGGAUGAUCAGCCACACUGGAACUGACACACGGUCCAGACUCCCACGGGAGGCAGCAGUUGGGAAUAUUGGACAAUGGGGGCAACCCUGAUCCAGCGACGCCGCGUGAGUGAUGAAGGCCUUCGGGUCGUAAAGCUCUUUUAGUGGGGAAGAAGGGGAAACCUUGACGGUACCCGCAGAAAAAGCACCGGCUAACUCUGUGCCAGCAGCCGCGGUAAUACAGAGGGUGCAAGCGUUGUUCGGAAUUAUUGGGCGUAAAGCGCGUGUAGGCGGCCAUUUAAGUCUGGUGUGAAAUCCCUCGGCUCAACUGAGGAAGUGCAUUGGAUACUGAAUGGCUAGAGGAUGAGAGAGGAGAGUGGAAUUCCAGGUGUAGGGGUGAAAUCCGUAGAUAUCUGGAGGAACACCAGAGGCGAAGGCGGCUCUCUGGCUCAUUUCUGACGCUGAGACGCGAAAGCGUGGGGAGCAAACAGGAUUAGAUACCCUGGUAGUCCACGCCCUAAACGAUGGAUACUAGUCGUCGGAGUUCCUAAUCGCUCCGGUGACGAAGCUAACGCAUUAAGUAUCCCGCCUGGGAAGUACGGUCGCAAGAUUAAAACUCAAAGGAAUUGACGGGGGCCCGCACAAGCGGUGGAGCAUGUGGUUUAAUUCGAUGCUACGCGAAGAACCUUACCCAGACUUGACAUCCCGCGCAUAGCCGUGAAAGCGGUGAAUUCUCUUCGGAGACGCGGUGACAGGUGCUGCAUGGCUGUCGUCAGCUCGUGUUGUGAGAUGUUGGGUUAAGUCCCGCAACGAGCGCAACCCUCGUCGCUAGUUACCAUCAUUAAGUUGGGCACUCUAGCGAGACCGCUGAGCUAUAAGCCAGAGGAAGGUGGGGAUGACGUCAAGUCCUCAUGGCCCUUAUGUCUGGGGCUACACACGUGCUACAAUGGAAAGGACAAUGCGUUGCAAGCCGGCGACGGCAAGCUAAUCGCAAAAAACUUUUUUCAGUUCGGAUUGGAGUCUGCAACUCGACUCCAUGAAGCUGGAAUCGCUAGUAAUCGUGGAUCAGAACGCCACGGUGAAUACGUUCCCGGGCCUUGUACACACCGCCCGUCACACCAUGGAAGUUUGCUACACCGGAAAACGCCGAGCUAACCCGCAAGGGGGGCAAGCGUUUAUGGUUUGGCCGAUGACUGGGGUGAAGUCGUAACAAGGUA